GAUGAAGAACGUAGCGAAAUGCGAUAAGUAGUGUGAAUUGCAGAAUUCAGUGAAUCAUCGAAUCUUUGAACGCACAUUGCGCCCCUUGGUAUUCCAUGGGGCAUGCCUGUUCGAGCGUCAUUUGUACCUUCAAGCUCUGCUUGGUGUUGGGUGUUUGUCCUUGCUCUAGUGGCGGGACUCGCCUUAAAGUAAUUGGCAGCCAGUGUUUUGGUUUUGAAGCGCAGCACAAGUCGCGAUUCAAGUCUAUACGCUUGUUUCCACAAGUCUUUUAUCACUUUUGACCUCGGAUCAGGUAGGGAUACCCGCUGAACUUAAGCAUAUCAAUAAGCGGAGGA
This 335-nucleotide unclassified non-coding RNA is filed under the name soil metagenome. RNAcentral's name for it is "partial contains 5.8S ribosomal RNA, internal transcribed spacer 2, and large subunit ribosomal RNA". The stretch from base 1 to 120 matches the Rfam family "5.8S ribosomal RNA", at positions 35 to 154 of the family's 154-position model. The record is from RNAcentral.